CGCUCAUCGACCUUCGGGUCACAUGGAGGAGAGUGGCGAACGGGUGAGUAACACGUGAGAAACCUGCCCCAAAGUUGGGAAUAACUCACGGAAACCUGAGCUAAUACCCGAUGCCGUCAACGAACCGAGUGGUUCAUUGACGAAAGAUUUAUCGCUUUGGGAGGGUCUCGCGGCCUAUCAGCUUGUUGGUGAGGUAACGGCUCACCAAGGCUCUGACAGGUAGCUAGUCUGAGAGGACGAAUAGCCAC
RNAcentral lists this ribosomal RNA (248 nucleotides) under uncultured bacterium. Its description in RNAcentral is "partial 16S ribosomal RNA". It matches the Rfam family "Bacterial small subunit ribosomal RNA", at positions 67 to 311 of the family's 1533-position model. The record is from RNAcentral.